UACGGAGGGUGCGAGCGUUGUCCGGAAUCACUGGGCGUAAAGGGCGCGUAGGCGGCCUGAUAAGUAGGGGGUGAAAUCCUGCGGCUUAACCGCAGGGCUGCCUUCUAAACUGUCAGGCUAGAGCACAGUAGAGGCAGGUGGAAUUCCCGGUGUAGCGGUGGAAUGCGUAGAGAUCGGGAAGAACAUCAGUGGCGAAGGCAGCUCGCUGGGACGUGACUGACGCUGAGACGCGAAAGCGUGGGGAGCAAACAGG
Molecule: ribosomal RNA, 253 nt
Filed under: uncultured bacterium
Lineage: Bacteria
Description: partial 16S ribosomal RNA
Rfam family: Bacterial small subunit ribosomal RNA
Source: RNAcentral